UCAAACUUGGUCAUUUAGAGGAAGUAAAAGUCGUAACAAGGUUUCCGUAGGUGAACCUGCGGAAGGAUCAUUAACGAGUUUUGAAGUGGGAUUGAUGCUGGCCUCCCGAGGCAUGUGCUCGUCCUCGCUCAUCCACUCUCACAACACCUGUGCACCGUUGAGGCAUGGCCCCCCCUUCGAUGGAGCCGUUCCCCCCCUUCUCGAAAGGGGAGGGGGGUCGAGCCGGGGUCAGGCCUUUUCUUACUUUAUCACAAACAACUUGAAAUGUAUAUUCGGAAUGUGAUCGUCAUUAUGUUAAUGAAACAAUACAACUUUCAACAACGGAUCUCUUGGCUCUCGCAUCGAUGAAGAACGCAGC
This 358-nucleotide unclassified non-coding RNA is filed under the name uncultured fungus. Its description in RNAcentral is "partial contains small subunit ribosomal RNA, internal transcribed spacer 1, and 5.8S ribosomal RNA". The stretch from base 1 to 73 matches the Rfam family "Eukaryotic small subunit ribosomal RNA", at positions 1759 to 1831 of the family's 1831-position model. Lineage: Eukaryota; Fungi. The record is from RNAcentral.